Molecule: ribosomal RNA, 459 nt
Filed under: uncultured Methanomicrobiales archaeon
Lineage: Archaea; Methanobacteriati; Methanobacteriota; Methanomicrobia; Methanomicrobiales
Description: bacterial SSU rRNA
Rfam family: Archaeal small subunit ribosomal RNA
Source: RNAcentral
CCACAACGGUGGAGCCUGCGGUUUAAUUGGACUCAACGCCGGGCAGCUCACCGGAUAAGACAGCUGGAUGAUAGCCGGGCUGAAGACUCUGCUUGACUAGCUGAGAGGAGGUGCAUGGCCGUCGUCAGUUCGUACUGUGAAGCAUCCUGUUAAGUCAGGCAACGAGCGAGACCCACGCCAACAGUUGCCAGCAUGUCCUCCGGGAUGAUGGGGACACUGUUGGGACCGCCUCUGCUAAAGAGGAGGAAGGAAUGGGCAACGGUAGGUCAGCAUGCCCCGAAUUAUCUGGGCUACACGCGGGCUACAAUGGGUGGGACAGUGGGUAUCGACACCGAAAGGUGAAGGCAAUCUCCUAAACCCAUCCGUAGUUCGGAUUGUGGGCUGCAACUCGCCCACAUGAAGCUGGAAUCUGUAGUAAUCGUGUCUCAAAAUGGCACGGUGAAUAUGUCCCUGCUCCUU